UACGAAGGUCCCGAGCGUUGUUCGGAAUCACUGGGCGUAAAGGGCGCGUAGGCGGCUCUGUAAGUCACUUGUGAAAUCUCUGAGCUUAACUCAGAACGGCCAAGUGAUACUGCAGUGCUAGAGUGUAGAAGGGGCAAUCGGAAUUCUUGGUGUAGCGGUGAAAUGCGUAGAUAUCAAGAGGAACACCUGAGGUGAAGACGGGUUGCUGGUCUAACACUGACGCUGAGGCGCGAAAGCCAGGGGAGCAAACGGG
Molecule: ribosomal RNA, 253 nt
Filed under: uncultured bacterium
Lineage: Bacteria
Description: partial 16S ribosomal RNA
Rfam family: Bacterial small subunit ribosomal RNA
Source: RNAcentral